GACGAACGCUGGCGGCGUGCUUAACACAUGCAAGUCGAACGGUGAUGCUCCAGCUUGCUGGAGUGGAUCAGUGGCGAACGGGUGAGUAACACGUGAGCAACCUGCCCCAGACUCUGGAAUAAGCGCUGGAAACGGCGUCUAAUACUGGAUACGAAACUGGCCCGCAUGGGCAUGGUUUGGUAAGUUUUUCGGUUUGGGAUGGGCGCGCGGCCUAGCAGCUUGUUAGUGAGGGAAUGGCUCGCCUAGGCGACGACGGGUAGACGGCCUGAGAGGGCGUCCGGCCACACUCGGGCUGUGACACGGCCCCGACUCCUACGGGGGGCAGCAGUGUGGAAUAUUGCACGAUGGGCGCAAGCCUGAUGCAGCGACGCCGCGUGUGGGAUGACGGCCUUCUGGUUGUAAACCUCUUUCAGCAGGGAAGAAGCGAAAGUGACGGUACCUGCAGAAGAAGCACCGGCUAACUACGUG
RNAcentral lists this ribosomal RNA (468 nucleotides) under uncultured bacterium. RNAcentral describes it as "partial 16S ribosomal RNA". It matches the Rfam family "Bacterial small subunit ribosomal RNA", at positions 28 to 507 of the family's 1533-position model. The record is from RNAcentral.